RNAcentral lists this ribosomal RNA (452 nucleotides) under Marmota baibacina (gray marmot). Its description in RNAcentral is "partial large subunit ribosomal RNA". It matches the Rfam family "Bacterial large subunit ribosomal RNA", at positions 1797 to 2486 of the family's 2925-position model. The record is from RNAcentral. Lineage: Eukaryota; Metazoa; Chordata; Mammalia; Rodentia; Sciuridae.
CGCCUGUUUAUCAAAAACAUCACCUCUAGCAUAAAUAGUAUUAGAGGCACUGCCUGCCCAGUGACAUACGUUCAACGGCCGCGGUAUCCUGACCGUGCAAAGGUAGCAUAAUCACUUGUUCUUUAAAUAAGGACUAGUAUGAAUGGCUUAACGAGGGUUUAACUGUCUCUUACUUUAAAUCAGUGAAAUUGACCUUCCCGUGAAGAGGCGGGAAUUUUCCAAUAAGACGAGAAGACCCUAUGGAGCUUUAAUUUAAUAGUCUCACAACCCUAAUAAAAUCUUAGGAGUCAAAAUUAUUGUCUACAGACUAGAAAUUUCGGUUGGGGUGACCUCGGAGUACAAAUUAACCUCCGAAUGAUAAUAAUCUAGACACACAUGUCCAAAUUAUAACUCAUUAAUUGACCCAAAUUAUUGAUCAACGGAACAAGUUACCUUAGGGAUAACAGCGUAAA